AUGUUGUAUGAAAGGAAAAAGGUUAGCACUCCCCUUCACAAGGAUGGAAUAGGCCCUUAGGCCUUACAGCACACAUACCUUUAAGGCAUUGCCACCUACUUUGUGGCAUCUAAUCACAGUUUAAA
Molecule: small nuclear RNA, 125 nt
Organism: Loxodonta africana (African savanna elephant)
Lineage: Eukaryota; Metazoa; Chordata; Mammalia; Proboscidea; Elephantidae
Source: Ensembl